AGCUGGUUGGUGAGGUAAAAGCUCACCAAGGCGACGAUCUGUAGCGGGUCUGAGAGGAUGAUCCACCACACUGGAACUGAGACACGGUCCAGACUCCUACGGGAGGCAGCAGUGGGGAAUUUUGGACAAUGGGGGCAACCCUGAUCCAGCCAUGCCGCGUGAGUGAAGAAGGCCUUCGGGUUGUAAAGCUCUUUCAGCCGGGAAGAAAAUGCAUGGGUUAAUACCCUGUGCAGAUGACGGUACCGGAAUAAGAAGCACCGGCUAACUACGUGCCAGCAGCCGCGGUAAUACGUAGGGUGCGAGCGUUAAUCGGAAUUACUGGGCGUAAAGCGUGCGCAGGCGGUUUUGUAAGACAGGCGUGAAAUCCCCGGGCUUAACCUGGGAACUGCGUUUGUGACUGCAAGGCUAGAGUACGGCAGAGGGGGGUGGAAUUCCACGUGUAGCAGUGAAAUGCGUAGAGAUGUGGAGGAACACCAAUGGCGAAGGCAGCCCCCUGGGUCGAUACUGACGCUCAUGCACGAAAGCGUGGGUAGCAAACAGGAUUAGAUACCCUGGUAGUCCACGCCCUAAACGAUGUCAACUAGGUGUUGGGAGGGUAAAACCUUUUAGUACCGUAGCUAACGCGAGAAGUUGACCGCCUGGGGAGUACGGCCGCAAGGUUAAAACUCAAAGGAAUUGACGGGGACCCGCACAAGCGGUGGAUGAUGUGGAUUAAUUCGAUGCAACGCGAAAAACCUUACCUACCCUUGACAUGUCAGGAACUUGCCAGAGAUGGCUUGGUGCCCGAAAGGGAACCUGAACACAGGUGCUGCAUGGCUGUCGUCAGCUCGUGUCGUGAGAUGUUGGGUUAAGUCCCGCAACGAGCGCAACCCUUGUCGUUAAUUGCCAUCAUUUAGUUGGGCACUUUAACGAGACUGCCGGUGACAAACCGGAGGAAGGUGGGGAUGACGUCAAGUCCUCAUGGCCCUUAUGGGUAGGGCUUCACACGUCAUACAAUGGUCGGUACAAAGGGUCGCCAACCCGCGAGGGGGAGCCAAUCCCAUAAAGCCGAUCGUAGUCCGGAUCGUAGGCUGCAACUCGCCUGCGUGAAGUCGGAAUCGCUAGUAAUCGUGGAUCAGCAUGUCACGGUGAAUACGUUCCCGGGUCUUGUACACACCGCCCGUCACACCAUGGGAGCGGGUUCCGCCAGAAGUAGGUAGCCUAACCGCAAGGGGGGCGCUUACCACGGCGGGGUUCGUGACUGGGGUGAAGUCGUAACAAGGUAGCCGUAGGGGAACCUGCGGCUG
RNAcentral lists this ribosomal RNA (1286 nucleotides) under metagenome. RNAcentral's name for it is "bacterial SSU rRNA". It matches the Rfam family "Bacterial small subunit ribosomal RNA", at positions 243 to 1520 of the family's 1533-position model. The record is from RNAcentral.